UCUGCUACAUAAGCAAUUGGGCCCAUACCCCAAAAACGAUAAAAUAUAUCCCCUAAUA
Molecule: transfer RNA, 58 nt
Filed under: Rhampholeon spectrum
Lineage: Eukaryota; Metazoa; Chordata; Lepidosauria; Squamata; Chamaeleonidae
Description: tRNA-Met
Source: RNAcentral